UACAGAGGGGGCAAGCGUUGUUCGGAAUUACUGGGCGUAAAGGGCGCGUAGGCGGCCCUCUAAGUCAUGCGUGAAAUCCCCGGGCUCAACCCGGGAACUGCGUCUGAUACUGGAGGGCUCGGAUCCGGGAGAGGGAUGUGGAAUUCCAGGUGUAGCGGUGAAAUGCGUAGAUAUCUGGAGGAAUACCGGUGGCGAAGGCGGCAUCCUGGACCGACAUUGACGCUGAAAGCCGAAAGCUAGGGGAGCAAACGGG
RNAcentral lists this ribosomal RNA (253 nucleotides) under uncultured bacterium. Its description in RNAcentral is "partial 16S ribosomal RNA". It matches the Rfam family "Bacterial small subunit ribosomal RNA", at positions 524 to 776 of the family's 1533-position model. The record is from RNAcentral.